Molecule: transfer RNA, 72 nt
Filed under: Ovis aries (sheep)
Lineage: Eukaryota; Metazoa; Chordata; Mammalia; Artiodactyla; Bovidae
Rfam family: tRNA
About the family: Transfer RNA (tRNA) molecules are approximately 80 nucleotides in length. Their secondary structure includes four short double-helical elements and three loops (D, anti-codon, and T loops).
Source: Rfam by way of RNAcentral
UCCCUGUAGUUCCAGUAGUUUGGGUUCCACAUUUUCACUGCGGUGGCCCGGGUUCAAUCCCUGGUCAGGGAA